RNAcentral lists this ribosomal RNA (398 nucleotides) under uncultured bacterium. Its description in RNAcentral is "partial 16S ribosomal RNA". It matches the Rfam family "Bacterial small subunit ribosomal RNA", at positions 523 to 918 of the family's 1533-position model. The record is from RNAcentral.
AUACGUAGGGUGCGAGCGUUGUCCGGAAUUACUGGGCGUAAAGAGCUCGUAGGUGGUUUGUCGCGUCGUCUGUGAAAUUCCGGGGCUUAACUCCGGGCGUGCAGGCGAUACGGGCAUAACUUGAGUACUGUAGGGGAGACUGGAAUUCCUGGUGUAGCGGUGAAAUGCGCAGAUAUCAGGAGGAACACCGGUGGCGAAGGCGGGUCUCUGGGCAGUAACUGACGCUGAGGAGCGAAAGCAUGGGUAGCGAACAGGAUUAGAUCCCCUGGUAGUCCAUGCCGUAAACGGUGGGCGCUAGGUGUAGGGGUCCUCCACGACUUCUGUGCCGUAGCUAACGCAUUAAGCGCCCCGCCUGGGGAGUACGGCCGCAAGGCUAAAACUCAAAGGAAUUGACGGGG